Non-coding RNA from Ciona savignyi (Pacific transparent sea squirt), 73 nucleotides. The record is from Rfam. NCBI's taxonomy places the organism in Eukaryota, Metazoa, Chordata, Ascidiacea, Phlebobranchia, Cionidae.
GUCUAUGUGGCGCAAUUGGUUAGCGCGUUCGGCUGUUAACCAAAGGUUGCUGGUUCAAGCCCAGCCAGGGACG